Camellia sinensis is the source of this 1379-nucleotide long non-coding RNA. RefSeq lists it as uncharacterized. The record is from RefSeq and is a predicted model, not a curated record. NCBI's taxonomy places the organism in Eukaryota, Viridiplantae, Streptophyta, Magnoliopsida, Ericales, Theaceae.
AGUCCCAACAUUAAUGAAACCAACUGAUGAAAUAAAACUCUCACCACCGAUGCUCCUCUAUUGCCGAUCUAUAUCCUCACCCUUCUUAUCUCCGAUCUGUCCCUCCUGCCUCAAUCUUCCCAGCGUUGAUCUACUUCACUUCACCCUUUUGAGCCCUAAUUUGAGAGAAAAUUCCUAUUUGAAGAGAAAAAAAAAGGCUCUCUCUCUCUCUCUCCAACUGUAAACCCAUCGCCCCUUCUUUUCUCUUUCUCUUAUCUUCCCUCAAAACCCCUCUCAAAUCAUCCACCUCCAUCCUCUUUACCAGGCCCUUCGAUUUCCCUCAAAACCCCUCUCCGACCCUAAUUUAGAAUGAUUCGGAUGCGAAGUCGAAGCCUCGGAAGUGACUCAUCAAGAAGAACACGACGGCCAAGGAGAGCACUCCUGAUUUUGGAAUUGGAGAAGAGGAUGAUGGAGAAGAAUUAGGGGAUUUUGCGAGGGGAGAGUUGGACUACGAUGAUUAGAGAGAUGGAAAGACGAAGAAGCUUGAGAAAUAUGGUACUAGUAGUAGUAGGAAGAAGGACAGACAUUGAGAAACACACAUUCACUCUCUGCUCUCCUCGCUCUUUACCCUAGCUACUCCCUCUUCAGUGCCGCCGCAGACUUCUCCCAUUUUCCUCCUUUAGCCACCGACAUUGUAUCUCCGAGCAAGCGUUAGCGCCGCCGUUGUUGCUUCAAGUAUUAAAGAAUUGGAGACAAUCAUUGAGAAACAUCACGAGGUGUGAAGCUUUCUCCACAUAUCCAAGGUCUUAUGACUUAAUUCAUGCCAAUGGGGUUUUCAAUUUGUACAACGACAAACAAGAAAUGCAAUAGGGUUAGUUGCUCCAGCUAUUGCCGCUAGGGGUGUGCGCAGUGCGGGUUGGUGUGGUUUAGGAGAAAAAUAGAAACCGUACGGCGGGUGGCGGAUUGAUAAAAGUAUUAUUAGAAAUUGCCAUUUUUUCUAUCAAAAACCAGCGGUUCGGUUGGCAAAUAAUGGCGGUUUUGACUUGGCCGUUCGGGCGGAUUGGCGGUUUUUAAGAAAACAUAAUUUAAAUUAUAAAAUUUGAAUCAAAGAGUAAAAGAUCUAAUUUAUAAAUUAACUAAAAUAGUCAAAAUUAAAAUAUUGUGUUUUCAUUAUGUGCUCCUAGACAAUAUUAUGAGAACACUUUGAUUAAAGUAAAAUAAAUAAAGCACUUUCAUGUGUUCACCAGACAAUAUGACGAGAGCAUCACUAAUUGAUGUUUUAUACCACUAGAAAAGCUUUGAUACGACAAAUAAACAACUAAUAAAACACUGCCUAUUUGUCCACUUUGGUAAGAGAUAGAUAUUGAGGAAUGGAGAGAGAGCAAAGAGAGAGAGAGAGA